Molecule: ribosomal RNA, 492 nt
Filed under: uncultured bacterium
Lineage: Bacteria
Description: partial 16S ribosomal RNA
Rfam family: Bacterial small subunit ribosomal RNA
Source: RNAcentral
AGUGAACGCUGGCGGUGGGCCUAACACAUGCAAGUCGAACGGCAGCACAGUAAGAGCUUGCUCUUACGGGUGGCGAGUGGCGGACGGGUGAGGCAUACAUCGGAAUCUACUUUUUCGUGGGGGAUAACGUAGGGAAACUUACGCUAAUACCCCAUACGACCUACGGGUUAAAGCAGGGGAUCUUCGGACCUUGCGCGAUUGAAUGAGCCGAUGUCGGAUUAGCUAGUUGGCGGGGUAAAGGCCCACCAAGGCGACGAUACGUAGCGGGUCUGAGAGGAUGAUCAGCCACACUGGAACUGAGACACGGUCCAGACUCCUACGGGAGGCAGCAGUGGGGAAUAUUGGACAAUGGGCGCAAGCCUGAUCCAGCCAUACCGCGUGGGUGAAGAAGGCCUUCGGGUUGUAAAGCCCUUUUGUUGGGAAAGAAAAGCAGCAGGUUAAUACCCCGCUGUUCUGACGGUACCCAAAGAAUAAGCACCGGCUAACUUCGUG